AGUGAACGCUGGCGGUAGGCCUAACACAUGCAAGUCGAACGGCAGCACAGUAAGAGCUUGCUCUUACGGGUGGCGAGUGGCGGACGGGUGAGGAAUACAUCGGAAUCUACUUUUUCGUGGGGGAUAACGUAGGGAAACUUACGCUAAUACCGCAUACGACCUACGGGUGAAAGCAGGGGAUCUUCAGACCUUGCGCGAUUGAAUGAGCCGAUGUCGGAUUAGCUAGUUGGCGGGGUAAAGGCCCACCAAGGCGACGAUCCGUAGCUGGUCUGAGAGGAUGAUCAGCCACACUGGAACUGAGACACGGUCCAGACUCCUACGGGAGGCAGCCGUGGGGAAUAUUGGACAAUGGGCGCAAGCCUGAUCCAGCCAUACCGCGUGGGUGAAGAAGGCCUUCUGGUUGUAAAGCCCUUUUGUUGGGAAAGAAAAGCAGCAGGUUAAUACCCCGCUGUUCUGACGGUACCCAAAGAAUAAGCACCGGCUAACUUCGUG
RNAcentral lists this ribosomal RNA (492 nucleotides) under uncultured bacterium. RNAcentral describes it as "partial 16S ribosomal RNA". It matches the Rfam family "Bacterial small subunit ribosomal RNA", at positions 29 to 507 of the family's 1533-position model. The record is from RNAcentral.